UUUUCCUCUUUCACACUCUUUAAUCUCUUUCUGCUUUAUUUCGUCCUUUAAUUCUUGGUGAUUUAUUUGAAAUCACUAAGAACUUUUUGGACGCGGAGGCCGCAGCUGCCUCCACUUUGUACGCGUAAUUCAUCAUGUUUUAUGAAUGAAGCAUGUAACUUGCUAUCUAUUUCUCAAAAAAAAAAAAAAAUCUUGGUGAUUUAUUUUUCGCCCUUUUUUAUUCAAUAGGCUUGAUCACUCUAGCCUAAU
RNAcentral lists this long non-coding RNA (249 nucleotides) under Ananas comosus (pineapple). RNAcentral's name for it is "long non-coding RNA (ACOM_LNC007973)". Lineage: Eukaryota; Viridiplantae; Streptophyta; Magnoliopsida; Poales; Bromeliaceae. The record is from RNAcentral.